GCGUCCGGGGGCAGUGAACUCCACCCGCCACCCCACCCCACCUGCGUGUUUGUCCCCGUGAUCUUGCAGGUGCCUUCUAAGCACUUGGUCGCAGGUUCGAUCCCUGCCGGGCGCG
RNAcentral lists this transfer RNA (115 nucleotides) under Geodermatophilus obscurus DSM 43160. RNAcentral describes it as "tRNA-Arg (TCT) (tRNA-Arg-TCT-2-1)". The stretch from base 52 to 115 matches the Rfam family "tRNA". From Rfam's summary of the family: Transfer RNA (tRNA) molecules are approximately 80 nucleotides in length. Their secondary structure includes four short double-helical elements and three loops (D, anti-codon, and T loops). Further hydrogen bonds mediate the characteristic L-shaped molecular structure. tRNAs have two regions of fundamental functional importance: the anti-codon, which is responsible for specific mRNA codon recognition, and the 3' end, to which the tRNAs corresponding amino acid is attached (by aminoacyl-tRNA synthetases). tRNAs cope with the degeneracy of the genetic code in two manners: having more than one tRNA (with a specific anti-codon) for a particular amino acid; and 'wobble' base-pairing, i.e. permitting non-standard base-pairing at the 3rd anti-codon position. The record is from RNAcentral. Lineage: Bacteria; Bacillati; Actinomycetota; Actinomycetes; Geodermatophilales; Geodermatophilaceae.